RNAcentral lists this ribosomal RNA (825 nucleotides) under Triticum aestivum (bread wheat). Its description in RNAcentral is "partial small subunit ribosomal RNA". Lineage: Eukaryota; Viridiplantae; Streptophyta; Magnoliopsida; Poales; Poaceae. The record is from RNAcentral.
AUGACGCCCCCAAAGGAGGAACGACACCCGAGCGCCGCCGUCAUCCGAUCAUCCGAUCUAGGGUUUCCCCCAGAGGUAGCAGAGAGUGGCCUUGAACUUCUCCACGGUGAUGCCUUCAAGAAGGGAACGACGCAGAUAGCGCCACCACCGCCGGCCUUAGCAGACGCGAAGGCAAAUUUUCACCCAGAUCAUUUUGAAGGGAUCCAACUCUCGUGCACGGGCCGCCGUCACCACCAGCACCACCAGGCAGAACCCUGGAGCACCGGUAGAUCAAUGAGCCGCCGGCACCACCGCAUCCAGAUCGCCGGCCACGCCGGGCCGCCGCCAUCCCUCGCGCCGUCCGGGUCAGAGACGGAGCCGCCGACCGCACACAGGGACCAUUGCCGCCUGCACACGCCGGAGCGCUGCCGAGAGCCCAGCGCCCGCCACCGCUUGCCGAGGGCCGCCGCCGCGCGCCCCGAGCGGACUCCCACGCACACCAGGGUAAACCGCGAGCGUGAGCCCUGCCGUCGACCCCAAGCCCGCGCCGGCGCGCCCCGCCUCCAGUGUGCCGCCAAAAACCGCCGCGAUCCGCCCGCGCCAGAUCCAGCGAGUCGUGGGAGAAGAGAUCCCGCCGCCGCCGACGCCGACCGGGCUUUGCCCGGCGGCGACGAGGAGAGGUCGGGGAGGGACAAGGACGCGGCGGCGCUAGGGUUCCCCCCAGUCGCCGCGCAGGGGCGACACGGGAGGAGUCAGAACUUUUUUCAACUAUGUGUUAACAUUUUCGGAUGGUACCAAACAUUUUUAAGCUCCACAAACAGUUUUAUACAUUGUAUAGGCAUUUAA